RNAcentral lists this transfer RNA (72 nucleotides) under Nocardia huaxiensis. It matches the Rfam family "tRNA". From Rfam's summary of the family: Transfer RNA (tRNA) molecules are approximately 80 nucleotides in length. Their secondary structure includes four short double-helical elements and three loops (D, anti-codon, and T loops). Lineage: Bacteria; Bacillati; Actinomycetota; Actinomycetes; Mycobacteriales; Nocardiaceae. The record is from Rfam by way of RNAcentral.
GCGGGUGUGUCCGAGUGGUUCAGGAGAAGGUCUGCAAAGCCUUAUACGUGGGUUCGAUUCCCACCACUCGCU